This 468-nucleotide ribosomal RNA is filed under the name uncultured bacterium. Its description in RNAcentral is "partial 16S ribosomal RNA". It matches the Rfam family "Bacterial small subunit ribosomal RNA", at positions 28 to 507 of the family's 1533-position model. The record is from RNAcentral.
GACGAACGCUGGCGGCGUGCUUAACACAUGCAAGUCGAACGGAAAGGCCCUGCUUUUGUGGGGUGCUCGAGUGGCGAACGGGUGAGUAACACGUGAGUAACCUGCCCUUGACUGUGGGAUAACUUCAGGAAACUGGGGCUAAUACCGGAUAGGAGCUCCCGCAGCAUGGGGGGGGUUGGAAAGUUUCGGCGGUGGGGGCUGGACUCGCGGCUUAUCAGCUGGAUGGUGGGGUAGUGGCUUACCAAGGCUUCGACGGGUAGCCGGCCUGAGAGGGUGACCGGCCACAUUGGGACUGAGAUACGGCCCAGACUCCUACGGGACGCAGCAGUGGGGAACAUUGCGCAAUGGGCCGACGCCUGAUGCAGCAACGCCGCGUGCGGGAUGACGGCCUUCGGGUUGUAAACCGCUUUCGCCUGUGCCGAAGCGUGAGUGACGGUACUGGGUAAAGAAGCCCCGGCUAACUACGUG